This 787-nucleotide ribosomal RNA is filed under the name Cephalonomia tarsalis. RNAcentral describes it as "eukaryotic LSU rRNA". It matches the Rfam family "Eukaryotic large subunit ribosomal RNA", at positions 406 to 932 of the family's 3401-position model. Lineage: Eukaryota; Metazoa; Arthropoda; Insecta; Hymenoptera; Bethylidae. The record is from RNAcentral.
CGUUCAGGGGUAAACCUGAGGAACCCGAAAGAUCGAAUGGGGAGAUUCAACGUCAGCGAAGCUGGCCUCACGAUGGCGAGUGAUGCACGAUCGGGUGCUUCGGUGACCGAUAUGGAGCACGCAGCUGUUGUGAAAGUCUGGUGGCGUCGGCGUGCACUUCUCCCCUAGUAGGACGUCGCGACCCGUUGGGUGCCGGUCUAAGGCCCGGGUGGUAGCCUGCUUCGUCGCUUCGGCGCAUCGAGGCAGACCCCUGGUCGCCAGUCGCCGGCUGCCCGGCGGUAUUCUUGAUGGUAUCGGGUCGCAUAUUCGAACUGCGUCGGGCCCGUCGCAAGCGCGAUCAGUGUUUCACGGAGGUCGGACCUGGUGCCGUCCCCGUGCCUGGUCAGCUGUUGGUCGACGGUGUUCUCCGACUGGCCAAUUUAACAUUUACGAUACCGGUCGGCGAUGCUACUGCUUUGGGUAAUCUCAGGACCCGUCUUGAAACACGGACCAAGGAGUCUAACAUGUGCGCGAGUCAUUGGGACCGCAUGCCUAAAGGCGAAAUGAAAGUGAAGGUCGGCCUUAGCGCCGACCGAGGGAGGAUGGGCCGCGUCGAGAUGCGGCUUCGCACUCCCGGGGCGUCUCGUUCUCAUUGCGAGAAGAGGCGCACCCAGAGCGUACACGUUGGGACCCGAAAGAUGGUGAACUAUGCCUGGUCAGGACGAAGUCAGGGGAAACCCUGAUGGAGGUCCGUAGCGAUUCUGACGUGCAAAUCGAUCGUCGGAACUGGGUAUAGGGGCGAAAGACU